This 395-nucleotide ribosomal RNA is filed under the name uncultured bacterium. RNAcentral's name for it is "bacterial SSU rRNA". It matches the Rfam family "Bacterial small subunit ribosomal RNA", at positions 30 to 416 of the family's 1533-position model. The record is from RNAcentral.
AUUGAACGCUGGCGGUAUGCCUAACACAUGCAAGUCGAACGAGGUAGCAAUACCUAGUGGCGCACGGGUGAGUAACACGUAGGUAACCUCGCCCCCCAGUCUGGAACAACUAGAGGAAACUCUAGCUAAUGCCGGAUGAGACCACGAUCCCUUCGGGGGGUUGCGGCCAAAGAUGGCCUCUACUUGUAAGCUAUCGCUGAGGGAUGGGCCUGCGGGCCAUUAGCUUGUUGGUGAGGUAACGGCUCACCAAGGCUGUGAUGGCUAGCUGGUCUGAGAGGAUGACCAGCCACACUGGGACUGAGACACGGCCCAGACUCCUACGGGAGGCAGCAGUGGGGAAUAUUGCGCAAUGGGCGAAAGCCUGACGCAGCGACGCCGCGUGGGUGAUGAAGGCC